UGGUGGAGCGAUUUGUCUGGUCAAUUCCGAUAACGAACGAGACUCUAGCCUACUAAAUAGUUCGGGGACCCCCACAAAGGGGCCCCGCUUCAACUUCUUAGAGGGACAGGUGGCGUUUUGCCACACGAGAUUGAGCAAUAACA
This 143-nucleotide ribosomal RNA is filed under the name uncultured eukaryote. RNAcentral describes it as "partial 18S ribosomal RNA". It matches the Rfam family "Eukaryotic small subunit ribosomal RNA", at positions 1299 to 1458 of the family's 1831-position model. The record is from RNAcentral.